This 444-nucleotide ribosomal RNA is filed under the name uncultured bacterium. RNAcentral's name for it is "SSU rRNA". It matches the Rfam family "Bacterial small subunit ribosomal RNA", at positions 26 to 518 of the family's 1533-position model. The record is from RNAcentral.
AGAGCGAACGCUGGCGGCAGGCCUAACACAUGCAAGUCGAGCGCCCGUAGCAAUACGGGAGCGGCAGACGGGAUAGUAACACGUGGGAACGCGCCCUUCGGUUCGGAAUAACUCAGGGAAACUUGAGCUAAUACCGGAUACGCCCUUACGGGGAAAGAUUUAUUGCCGAAGGAGCGGCCCGCGUCCGAUUAGCUAGUUGGUGAGGUAAUGGCUCACCAAGGCGACGAUCGGUAGCUGGUCUGAGAGGAUGACCAGCAUCACUGGGACUGAGACACGGCCCAGACUCCUACGGGAGGCAGCAGUGGGGAAUAUGGACAAUGGGCGCAAGCCUGAUCCAGCCAUGCCGCGUGGAUGAUGAAGGCCUUAGGGUUGUAAAGUCCUUUAACGGGGAAGAUAAUGACGGUACCGUAGAAUAAGCCCGGCUAACUUCGUGCCAGCAGCCGC